Molecule: ribosomal RNA, 257 nt
Filed under: uncultured bacterium
Lineage: Bacteria
Description: partial 16S ribosomal RNA
Rfam family: Bacterial small subunit ribosomal RNA
Source: RNAcentral
UACGGGGGGUGCAAGCGUUGUCCGGAAUCACUGGGCGUAAAGGGCGCGUAGGUGGCUUCUUAAGCGUGCGGUGAAAGCCUGGGGCUCAACCCCCGGGGUCGGCCGUGCGAACUGGGGGGGCUGGAGCACUGUAGAGGCAGGCGGAAUUCCGGAUGUAGCGGUGGAAUGCGUAGAGAUCCGGAAGAACACCGGUGGCGAAGGCGGCCUGCUGGGCAGUUGCUGACACUGAGGCGCGGACAGCGUGGGGAGCAAACAGG